Molecule: non-coding RNA, 1424 nt
Organism: Ictidomys tridecemlineatus (thirteen-lined ground squirrel)
Lineage: Eukaryota; Metazoa; Chordata; Mammalia; Rodentia; Sciuridae
Source: RefSeq, a predicted model, not a curated record
GGUUCCCUUGAAGUGGAUUCAUCAGUCCCUGUUCUCUGGACCCCUGCUGUUGGAAGCCCCAGGAAAAGCAAGCACAAAAUCACCUUUAAUUAGCAGGAAAGGAGCCUGCCUGCCUGAUAGAGGCAGAUAGCGCCUUGGAAACAAGAAACAGAAAAAUGUAAGGCAGGACCAGGUUCACGGGGAAAGAACUAGGAAAUGAAAAAGAAUAAUUAUCCUGUUUUAACAUAAUGUUGUUAAUCUGUAUUGCCCAUUAUCAUCUGGAGUGUCUUGCCUAUUGAAGUAUGCGAGCUGCAGAACUGCUCUUGGCUCCAGCAAUGUCGUCGCCAACGGAAGGGACUGGCUCACCAUCCAUCAUCAUAAUUAGUUUGUCAUAAUUUUCUGCCCUUCUUGGCUCUGCGGUGAAAAGAUAGAAGAGGCAGUUAAAGUUACUCAGGAAUUGUUCCCCAAAUUUCCUCCCCGUUCUUUAUGGGGAACAGAUAGCUGUAUUUCUGCCCUAUUUAUUUUAUGUUUGGCCUGUGAUAAUGAAGUAUAUUUCACCUGGAAGUAUAUGGCUUUAAUUUCCAUGUUCUACUCGGAAACAUCUUGCUGUUUCUUGUUGUUUCCAUGGCACGGUAUAUACAAAGGGAGCCCAGGCUUCUUUCUGAACUCAAGCCAUCACCCACCAGAAGUCAUUCUAGUUUCCAGACCAACGUUCGGACCUCAUGAGCUGACUGCUUAAUCACACAGGCUGCAUCUACCAUCCGGGCAGGCGUCGGUUGCUUGAGGAGAACCACAGAGUGUGACCGGCCUCCACCGGAGUCACUGCUUCCCACUGCUGUCCUGAGGCAUCCUGGGAAGAAUUUGCCUGAGCCAGUCCAGAAAUGGCCGUGUGUGGAGACAUCAUGCCGCAGUCAAACCGCAUUUCCCGCCAUCAGGCUUUCAUUAUCUCGAGGAUGGUACCCGUGAAGAGACUGCCUUGAGAGGAGAGGACCAAGUACCUGUGACCACUUCAGAACCAAGCCCAUACAACUUUAAAAAUAUUGAAAAUAUUCUCCACAACUGCACUAACCCAAAAGUGGAAAGGGGAGUAAUGUUCCAGACAGGGCUGAGAAAUUAGAUAUUAAAUAAAGUAGAAUACUAUUCAACUAUAUAGGUGAAAGGUUAAUAAAACAGGUACUUGUCACUCCCUGUUUUUCUGUAUGCUUAACAAAAACUAUUGAAAUCUUGAGAACUGUUUGCUAAUCUUGUUCCCAGAAUGUACUGUCCCCAACUGCCAAAUUGCAGAAUGUAUUCCCUCACCCGGUUGCAGGCAAACCGCCCACUCGCCCUGAGCCGUCAAUGAACUUCCCUCCCUGCCCUCUCCAAGGAAAGUAUAUGAGCUCUGCUUAAGCUGUUCUCGGGGCUCUCUGCUCUAUUCAAGUGAGCUCUGAGCCCCAGCAUGCUGG